Molecule: long non-coding RNA, 2302 nt
Organism: Rattus norvegicus (Norway rat)
Lineage: Eukaryota; Metazoa; Chordata; Mammalia; Rodentia; Muridae
Source: RefSeq, a predicted model, not a curated record
UAGAAGACAGGGUAUGCCAGGUAGGCCUGAGGGAUGCUGGGAGAACCUGGGGGCCAGGUUCAUUUUGGCAUGUUAAAUAUACACAUCAGCUGUUUGUCCUGGGUCUGAAUCCCAACAAGGAGGAAGAGGACUGAGAACAGUCUCUCUCUCUCUCUCUCUCUCUCUCUCUCUCUCUCUCUCUCUCUCUCUCUCUCUGUGUGUGUGUGUGUGUGUGUGUGUGUGUGUGUGUGUUUGCUUUCUGACUAUAGAAACUAUGCAGGCCACCUCAUGCCAUAUUGUUGGGAGAAUUUCUCUCCUAGGGGGACAUAAACUAUGUCAGUUCCCUCCUUAAGGUCCCAAGCACAAAGUGAAGUUCACUCUAGAACCAGUGAGUUUACUGAGCUCACUUUCGAGCACAAGUGAGAGGCACUCACUGACAGGAGGCUGAGCAGUCCCAGAGGAAAGUCUUCACCCAGUACGAUGACGGCCUCCUGUCACAUCCAUGGUGCCCCAUCUUAGCUUCCCCCAGCCUAUACUGUGUAUGUCAGCACCAUCUGAGACCAGUGGUUAUGUGCAGUUAGGGCAGAAGUGAAAACAGAUGGCUGGGGGCGUGGCUAGAGUCCCAGGUGAAGGUCCAUACCCUCUCCAUCUAAGAUGGCAUGCCAACAGUCAACAAACUAGAUUGUGACGGACUCUUGCCAGCGGGCACAGCAGGCGUGAUAACGACGAUGACAGCUAUUUUGCUGGAAGAAUCAUGUCCUGGUCCUUUUCCCACCAUGAUGGGCUGCACCCUUAAACUGUGAGCCAAAGUACACCCUUCCUUCCUUCCUUGAGUUGCCUUGGUCACAUACUUUGUCCUAACGGAUGCAUUCCUUAAGCAACACAGCAUCCAGUUGUGCAGUAUCCGGCUGCUACGGCAUCUUCACGGAGUGAAGGGCUGCACGGAGUCUAGAAAAGACUGGUGACACAUAAAAGUGAUAUGCAAAUCCUGUGCUGCUUACCUAAAGAUGUGAGCAUCUAUGGGUUUUAAUUUCCUCCUGGGUCUUUGAACCGUUUCCAUGGAUACGUAGGAACAACUGUAAAGCUCUUUAAAAUGCAUCUGCCCAUGAAAGAAGGAGGCAUUCUCCAGAUGCCUCAGCCUUGAUGCACAGGCCGGGCCUGGCUCGUGAAGAAUGGGGGAGGAGAUGGAGAAACUCCUAGUCAUCUGUGAAGAGGAAUGCAUAAUCACAAGUUAUGUUUGGUUCCUUUGGUUUGUGGCUGCUCUCCUGUCGCAUGCUUCGGGUGGCCUCUAAGAUCACCUCUCCCUCACUGCAGAACAAAACUAAGACCAUUAUUUGUAUAAUUCGGGUGAAAGCAGUGAGUCUUUUGAGAUUGUAAAUGAGUACGUCUUUUAGAGAAAUCACGAUAAUUGUCUGUGUUCUCCGCUUCACUGCCGGGAACAUGCAAAGCGGAAUGAAACCUUGUAAGCCGCCCAUAAAACUCAUUCCCUCCAGGAGGACGAAGUCGUAGCACUCACUCUUGGCCGCACGCAACGGGGGCAGAACUGAGAAGAGUGCCCCGCUUCCUGUUCAUGGAGCUUGAAAGUAAAUUCACCUCCUUGUCCCACAAGGAGGCAAAGUAGGAUAUAAAAGCUGGUAAGUGUUUAGGUGAGAGUGUACGUGCUCAGUCAUGCGGUUGGCUUCCUCGAAGUACAGAAGAAGAGAAUAAAAGGAAUAAAGAAAAGCCUCUGUGAUGGUUAGUGUAUGUUCGGCCCAGGAAGUGGCACUGUUAGGAGGUGUGGUCUUGCUGGGGUGGGUGUGGCCCUGUUGGAGUAGGCGUGGCCUUGUUGGAGUAGGUGUGUCACUGUGGGCUGGGGCUUUAAGACCUCAUCCUAGUUGCCUGGAAGCCAGUAUUCUGCUAACAGUCUUCAGAUGGAGAUGUAGACCUCUCAGCUCCUCCUGCACCAUGCCUGCCUGGAUGCUGCCAUGUUCCUGCCUUAAUGAUAAUGGACUGAACCUCUGAACCUAAUGAGAGCAGCCCCUGCACGCUGGAUCUUCAAUGGUAACAGAAUCGUUAAGAGCAUCUGCUUGGCUGUUAAUUUCUAAUAGACCUCACAGGCAACAAUCUGUUCUCCAGGCACAGGCCCUAGCCGUUCUUCACGUCUCUGGGAAGAGAUGGCGCUGAGCCAACCACUGCCGUGGAGAGAUUCCUGAAACGGAUCAGUCAGAGGCCCAGCAGGCUGAGUUGGAAUCAUCUUCCACAACCCCUGGACUUACAAUCGCAGAGUACUUCUGGGGACAUUAAAGCAAGCUAAAUAAAACCCCAUUGUGCAUAUAAUCCACAA